UACGUAGGGGGCGAGCGUUGUCCGGAUUCAUUGGGCGUAAAGCGCUUUAAGGCGGUUCGGUAAGUCGCGUGUGAAACCUCCAGGCUCAACCUGGAGACGCCACGCGAUACUGCUGUGACUAGAGUUCGGUAGGGGAUCACGGAAUUCCUGGUGUAGCGGUGAAAUGCGCAGAUAUCAGGAGGAACACCGGUGGCGAAGGCGGUGAUCUGGGCCGACACUGACGCUGUAGAGCGAAAGCGUGGGGAGCGAACAGG
Molecule: ribosomal RNA, 254 nt
Filed under: uncultured bacterium
Lineage: Bacteria
Description: partial 16S ribosomal RNA
Rfam family: Bacterial small subunit ribosomal RNA
Source: RNAcentral